AUGAGUUGGGAGGUGCUAACAAAGCCAAAAAGUAAAGGAGAAUUAGGGUUCAAAGAUCUUUAUGGAUUCAAUAUAGCCAUGCUUGCAAGACAAGCAUGGAGGAUGCUUACUGUUGCUCACUCUUUGUGUGCACGAGUUCUUGAGGCAAAAUAUUUCAAGGAUUGCACAAUCCUAGAGGCCGAAGAAAAACCAGAAAUCUCCUACACAUGGCGUAGUAUCCUAAAGGGAGUUGAGUUAUCGAGAGAAGGGGUGAUCUGGAGGCUUGGAGAUGGUGCAAGCAUCUCGGAGUUGGAAUAUACGCUUUGA
Molecule: ribosomal RNA, 306 nt
Filed under: Triticum aestivum (bread wheat)
Lineage: Eukaryota; Viridiplantae; Streptophyta; Magnoliopsida; Poales; Poaceae
Description: partial small subunit ribosomal RNA
Source: RNAcentral